AAGCAGAGUGACAGACGCCGCAUAAGCAUUUUUUAUCUGGUUUCGUUUAAUUGUAUUUCUGAAACUUCAAAAUGGACCGAAAAACAAUUCGUAAGAAUAUCUACUGGACCCUUGAUUUGGAAACGAAGAUUGCGAAACUCGGCAGGAAGGAAGCCAAAAUUGAAUAUUUAGAGAAGAGUAUUAUUUCGUUUCAACUUGAGGAAAAAGCUUUAUUGAAAUGCGAACGGUCUCUUGCCAUCCUUGAUGGUGAUUUAGACGACGGCUCCACGCGAUGCCCAAGGCGCAGCUCGAGGCUCAGGGAAAAGCAUCAGGCGCAGCAAAAGGGCGAGUAGGACAACGACGUAAGCAACGAGUGCGAAGGCGAAGACAACCAAAAGUAACGACUGCAGCAGUUAAAUUCAAUUAAAUGGAACACUUUUUUUUAUUUAUUGGUGUUUUUUGUUUUUUUAUUUCGUUUUGUGAAAUUAGCCCGCCUGGUUCUGGACCCUUCGACCCUUCCAAUUGCGAUGCGGCUUCGAGCCUAUGCUCUGGCCACACAACCACUAGAACACAACCACCACUUACACCAAGAGAUUAUUGAAAUAGCAACACAUCACCCCACCUACUCCAUUGUUACAAUAAACAUGAACUAUUAAAAGUUAUUGGCAUAUUCAAUGCAUCCACAAUGGA
RNAcentral lists this long non-coding RNA (669 nucleotides) under Drosophila guanche. The record is from RNAcentral. Lineage: Eukaryota; Metazoa; Arthropoda; Insecta; Diptera; Drosophilidae.